CCCUCCUCUCCUCCUCAAUCCCGUGCGCUCCCCAAGCCGCCGCCAUGAUAGACCACGAGCCGCCACCGUCGCCGUGCCUUGCCCCCUCGCGCCUCCUCCUCUGCGACUCCGAGCCGCCGCCAUCGCGCAUCUCCGCCUCAACCCACCCAACACUGCGCUGGGACGGAGGUGGAGGAGCACGGAUUCGGAAGAGGCGUGCGCUCGUCCGCGCCCUCGAUUUCUUCCAGCGGCGGCUGCCCGCGUGCCCUCGAUUUCGUCCAACGGCGGCUGGCCGUGCGCUGGCGGCGAAAGGCGGCAACCGAGCGGUGGUGGCGGCUGGCGGCGCUCGCCCUCGAUUUCGUCCGAGCAUCCAGCGGCGGCGGAAGGGAGCAGAAGAAGCGCGCCGGCGGCGGAAGGCAGCAAUCGAGCGGUGGUGGCGGCGGCUGGACCGUGCGCGCCCUCGAUUUCUUCCUCGGCACUCCUGGAGUGGAGAUGCUCUCAGUCGCUUCCAUAGUAGGUCGCCUUGCCUCGCCUCGCCUAGCUGCACACCCUCGGUCGACUCCCGGCGUCGCGCGCUUGUCCGCCACGCCCUAAGCCCGCUCCAGCCUCCAGCCUUGAUGUUGAUGAAAUUGAAAAGAUAAUUUAUAUUGAUGUGAGUGUUUUCAGAGGAGGAGGAAAAAACAGUUUCCCUAUUGCUGCUCUGUUGAUGUUUUUCAGAAGGUUGGUCUUGUUCUUGGACCUGAUUUUGUAUGCUGCUUGGUGCUUCCAGAUAUAUACGUAGCACAUAAUAACCACGUCGAGCAGGAUGGGUGGCGCAUCAGUGGAGUCAUCGCCCCAGCAUGUCGACUCUCGCCAGCCUCCACAAGCGGCGAAGACGGUUCAGCUUGGCCAUGGCGAUGGCAGUUUUCCGGAUCUGUGUUGUAGUUGUUGCUGCUGCUGGGCGAGCUGUUACAUAGUCACACUGAGGCUGACGCGCAACAAUGCUUGCAUUUCUGGGGCAUCAUCUCAUGCAGACGUCGGCACCUGACAUCCGUCCGAUAUGAGCGAUUACCUGACGGAUUCAUCCCUGGAGUGAUACAUCAAAAGAUUACUCGGAUGGUGCCCAGAUAACACGAAGGAGGUUCUAGGAUUUAGUAGGCUCGCUUCUUGUCUCAUCCUGUACUAGGCUCUGGUUAUGUGCUCUUCUUCUGUGUUGAGUUAACGCAUAUGAGUAUGUGAUCUGCUAAAUAACACCGGGACAGUCCUAGGCAUGAGUGAAAUCAAGGACUUGUUUGAGGAUAUACCAGUGGCUGUAAGCUAAUGCGUUCUUGUGCCUAUUUUGGAUUUGUUUGGCCGUUUUCAGUUGUAAUCUCGAUGUGUUCCUUGAGCACUGGAAAUGAGUUAAUUCUAAAGUAAAGG
Non-coding RNA from Lolium perenne, 1377 nucleotides. The record is from RefSeq and is a predicted model, not a curated record. Lineage: Eukaryota; Viridiplantae; Streptophyta; Magnoliopsida; Poales; Poaceae.